RNAcentral lists this ribosomal RNA (294 nucleotides) under uncultured bacterium. RNAcentral describes it as "partial 16S ribosomal RNA". It matches the Rfam family "Bacterial small subunit ribosomal RNA", at positions 30 to 306 of the family's 1533-position model. The record is from RNAcentral.
AGUGAACGCUGGCGGCAGGCCUAACACAUGCAAGUCGAGCGGCAGCGGGUCCCCCGCGAGGGGAUGCCGGCGAGCGGCGGACGGGUGAGGAACACAUCGGAAUCUGCCUGGUUGUGGGGGAUAACGUAGGGAAACUUACGCUAAUACCGCAUGCGACCCUGAGUCGACGGACGUGGGGGUGAAAGUGAGGGACCUUCGGCCUCACGCGACCAGAUGAGCCGAUGUCGGAUAGCUAGUUGGCGGGGUAACGGCCCGCCAAGGCGACGAUCCGUAGCUGGUCUGAGAGGAUGAUCA